Molecule: non-coding RNA, 217 nt
Organism: Pelobates cultripes (western spadefoot toad)
Lineage: Eukaryota; Metazoa; Chordata; Amphibia; Anura; Pelobatidae
Source: the annotation of a GenBank genome assembly
GUUGUGGAACACUCUUUUUUUUACAACCAUGGAAUCCUGACAUUCAGUUUGGGAAGUAUAGGGUCAAUGUCAGGAAAUGAGUUGAGUCAGUACAGGCUUUGGGUGGAUUAAAUGUCCUAUAUGAUGUCACUAUGAGGCACCAGGAAGCUAGGGAUGAGUGCUUGUGCAUCAAAACACAGAAGAGGCAUCACCGUGAUCGCACCGUGCAGUGAGGGAC